RNAcentral lists this ribosomal RNA (468 nucleotides) under uncultured bacterium. Its description in RNAcentral is "partial 16S ribosomal RNA". It matches the Rfam family "Bacterial small subunit ribosomal RNA", at positions 28 to 507 of the family's 1533-position model. The record is from RNAcentral.
GACGAACGCUGGCGGCGUGCUUAACACAUGCAAGUCGAACGGUGAAGCUCCAGCUUGCUGGCGUGGAUCAGUGGCGAACGGGUGAGUAACACGUGAGCAACCUGCCCCAGACUCUGGAAUAAGCGCUGGAAACGGCGUCUAAUACUGGAUACGAGAUCAAGCCGCAUGGUUAUGGUCUGGAAAGUUUUUCGGUUUGGGAUGGGCUCGCGGCCUAUCAGCUUGUUGGUGAGGUAAUGGCUCACCAAGGCGACGACGGGUAGCCGGCCUGAGAGGGCGACCGGCCACACUGGGACUGAGACACGGCCCAGACUCCUACGGGAGGCAGCAGUGGGGAAUAUUGCACAAUGGGCGGAAGCCUGAUGCAGCGACGCCGCGUGAGGGAUGACGGCCUUCGGGUUGUAAACCUCUUUCAGCAGGGAAGAAGCGAGAGUGGCGGUACCUGCAGAAGAAGCACCGGCUAACUACGUG